RNAcentral lists this transfer RNA (84 nucleotides) under Felis catus (domestic cat). It matches the Rfam family "tRNA". From Rfam's summary of the family: Transfer RNA (tRNA) molecules are approximately 80 nucleotides in length. The record is from Rfam by way of RNAcentral. RNAcentral also lists the same sequence under 2 other names. Lineage: Eukaryota; Metazoa; Chordata; Mammalia; Carnivora; Felidae.
GCCUGGGUGGCUCAGUCAGUUAAGCCUCUGACUUCAGCUCAGAGCGUGAUCUCACGGAUGUGAGUUCGAGCCCCACAUCGGGCU